Molecule: long non-coding RNA, 132 nt
Organism: Vitis riparia (riverbank grape)
Lineage: Eukaryota; Viridiplantae; Streptophyta; Magnoliopsida; Vitales; Vitaceae
Exons: 2
Source: RefSeq, a predicted model, not a curated record
GAGAUUCAGUCAGAGAUUCAAAAAAGUUGCCUUGUGUUCGCCUAUUACAAAACAUGAAGCAAAAGAUAAUUGUGAAAGUGCAAAUGAACUGUGACAAAUGCAGAACCAAAGCCAUGAAGAUUGCUGCAGUUG